AUACGGAGGGUGCGAGCGUUGUUCGGAAUUAUUGGGCGUAAAGAGCAUGUAGGCGGUCUGUUAAGUCUGGUGUGAAAGCCCGGGGCUCAACCCCGGAAGUGCAUUGGAUACUGGCAGACUUGAGUAUGGGAGAGGAAAGCGGAAUUCCGAGUGUAGGAGUGAAAUCCGUAGAUAUUCGGAGGAAUACCAGUGGCGAAGGCGGCUUUCUGGACCAAUACUGACGCUGAGAUGCGAAAGCGUGGGGAGCAAACAGGAUUAGAUACCCCAGUAGUCC
RNAcentral lists this ribosomal RNA (274 nucleotides) under uncultured bacterium. RNAcentral's name for it is "partial 16S ribosomal RNA". It matches the Rfam family "Bacterial small subunit ribosomal RNA", at positions 523 to 796 of the family's 1533-position model. The record is from RNAcentral.